AUUGAAGCACCAGUUUCCAUAUGAUCAUCAGAGUUAAGCAAUGUCAAGCCUGGUCAGUACCUAGAUGGGUAGCCACUUGGGAAUACCAGGUGCU
Non-coding RNA from Acanthosepion pharaonis, 94 nucleotides. The record is from the annotation of a GenBank genome assembly. Lineage: Eukaryota; Metazoa; Mollusca; Cephalopoda; Sepiida; Sepiidae.